This 466-nucleotide ribosomal RNA is filed under the name uncultured bacterium. RNAcentral's name for it is "partial 16S ribosomal RNA". It matches the Rfam family "Bacterial small subunit ribosomal RNA", at positions 28 to 507 of the family's 1533-position model. The record is from RNAcentral.
GAUGAACGCUGGCGGCGUGCCUAACACAUGCCAGUCGAACGAAGAAGCCCGGCUUGCUGGGUGGUUUAGUGGCGAACGGGUGAGUAACUCGCGCGUGACCUGCCUAUCUCUCAGGGAUAGGUGCUGUCAACGGCGCCUAACUCCGGACACAAGAUUUCUCGGCCUGGUGAGUUCCUGAGUAGAAUUUCGUUCUAGGAUGGACUAGCGGCUAAUCGGGUAGUUAGGGAGGUAUUGGCUGACCAAGCCCUCGACGGGUAGCCGACCUGAGAGGGGCACCGGCGACGCUACGCCUGAGACACGGCCCAGACUGCAACCGGACGCAGCAGUGGGGAAGAUUACACAAUGGGCGCAAGCCAGAUGCGGCCACGCCGCGUGAGGGAAGAAGGGCUUCGGGUCGUAAACCUAUGUUAGCAUAGAAGAGGCGAAAGUGACGGUACCUGCAGAAAAAGCACCGGCUAACUACGUG